This 349-nucleotide unclassified non-coding RNA is filed under the name uncultured Boletales. RNAcentral's name for it is "sequence contains ITS1". The stretch from base 1 to 106 matches the Rfam family "5.8S ribosomal RNA", at positions 50 to 154 of the family's 154-position model. Lineage: Eukaryota; Fungi; Basidiomycota; Agaricomycetes; Boletales. The record is from RNAcentral.
GAAUUGCGAUAUGUAAUGUGAAUUGCAGAUUUUCAGUGAAUCAUCGAAUCUUUGAACGCAUCUUGCGCUCCUUGGUAUUCCGAGGAGCAUGCCUGUUUGAGUGUCAUUAAAUUCUCAACUCCCUUUGAUUUCUUCAAGGGUGAGCUUGGAUUGUGGAGGCUUUGCUGGCUGUAAAGUCAGCUCCUCUGAAAUGCAUUGGCAAAGGUUGUGUGCAUGAAAUAUGGCCUUUCGGUGUGAUAAUGAUCACUGUGGGCUGGUUGCUUUAACACCUAUGUCCAACUUUUUCCAGCUGGAAAAAAACACUUGACAACUUGACCUCAAAUCAGGUAGGACUACCCGCUGAACUUAA